AUCCCAGUUCGGAUUGCAGGCUGCAACCCGCCUGUAUGAAGUUGGAAUCGCUAGUAAUCGCGGAUCGGCAUGCCGCGGUGAAUACGUUCCCGGGCCUUGUACACACCGCCCGUCACACCAUGAGAGUCGGGAACACCCGAAGUCCGUAGCCUAACCGCAAGGAGGGCGCGGCCGAAGGUGGGUUCGAUAAUUGGGGUGAAGUCGUAACAAGGUAGC
RNAcentral lists this ribosomal RNA (216 nucleotides) under uncultured bacterium. Its description in RNAcentral is "partial 16S ribosomal RNA". It matches the Rfam family "Bacterial small subunit ribosomal RNA", at positions 1285 to 1500 of the family's 1533-position model. The record is from RNAcentral.